UAGCAACUGCCUGCAGCAGCUCUCCAGAAAUUAGAAGCAAAGGCUCGUGAGCUCGGCAAACAUUCUCCAUGGUUAUGGAAGCCUUGUGCUAAUGAAGCCUGUGUGGCACUUCCUGAGUUCCAGCCUUAGCCUCCUGCGAGGUCAACGGACUCAGGGUGAAGAAGCCCCAGUGGAUACAGAGAGCAUAUUCCUGAUUAGGGAGCUUUACAAGAAAUGUUAAAAAUAGCACUUCAGCACAUCAUCUGUGACCUUCUGCACUUAUUCAAAUGUGACGGAGGCAAAGUAGAUGCGGCCUGCAAAAGAAAAGGCAAAACUCCCAGCCUCUGUUUCAGAGAAGACAUCUCCGUCCAUCGUUUGGGGCUGAAUAAGCUACCUUCCUGGAUCACUUUUCUGAACAGCCGUGCCUUGGAAGGGGGCCUGAGCUGGACACCAGGGGACCUGGUGCUUUCACAGCCCUGCUGAGGAUUAGCUGUCUGACCUUGGAAAAGUCCUUUAAUCUCUUGGGGCUUCAGUUUCCUCUCCACUUAAUCUCUGAGGAACUUUCCAGUUCAAAAAUUAUUCUAUGACAGCAUUAUGCUUAAAGGAAAAGCAUUCUUGUGGACUUCCAACACAGUCUAUACCAAAACUGAUAUAUAAUAAUGUACACCUGAAAUUACACAAUGUUAUAAACCAAUAUGACCUCAACAAAAUAAAAAAUAAAAUAAAAUUAUAACAAAAAAAUUACUUAAAUACACAAACUUAGAACUAGAUAUAAACUCCUCAUGCAAAUAAUUUUAGAGAUUUGAAACAAGC
Molecule: long non-coding RNA, 792 nt
Filed under: Equus caballus (horse)
Lineage: Eukaryota; Metazoa; Chordata; Mammalia; Perissodactyla; Equidae
Description: lncRNA (ENSECAG00000059917.1)
Source: RNAcentral